Molecule: long non-coding RNA, 706 nt
Filed under: Hordeum vulgare
Lineage: Eukaryota; Viridiplantae; Streptophyta; Magnoliopsida; Poales; Poaceae
Description: long non-coding RNA (HVUL_LNC017910)
Source: RNAcentral
UCAUGCAAAGUCACAUGCACUGUGUAGGUGGAGUACUAAGCUGCCCAGGGUCAUACUCAUGAGGUCUUGAGUCCGAAUCACCUGAGUUGCAUUGAUGGGAGGCAUUCUUUGUUUGUAGCCUUGAGGACCUUUACUCCCGGGACUAAAGGCAAUAUGUCCUUUUUUACUAGUGCAUGUGAAUGGACGUCACUGAUUUACCUCAGAUUGGCGGUGAAAAGUUUAGAGCAGAACCGAACUUCGUAACCCAAACAAGUCAGAUAUCUAAGAUCAAAAAACCAAAUAACUUUAUAUCCACACGCACUUGCCAAAUACGGCCCCGUGGUCAUGCGGGCGACAUGGAAUUUGGAUCUGGAGAUGGUGAUAGCCUUUUGCGAGGCUGGCUGCGGUAUGAGAUGCCCCCUCCAACUUCAUAUCGGCUUCGAUCCGGCUCCACAGGUGCUCCACACGAUGGCUCAUGCAGAUGCGCCAAGUCAUGUUGUCGCCUGCAUGUGCUACACACACACACAAUUUGGGAAGAGGCCCCAAGUCAUGCCUAUUGAUAGCAGGUGCUAUGCGUGGCGGCUCCUAUAGAGGAGCCAAGUAAUUGCAUGUUAUCGUUGUAUUGAAGCUGAAGUGACAGUGACUGCAGACGAGGCGGUAUGAGGCUUUUUUUUUUAGUAUUUUCUCUAGAAGCAUCCGGCUAUGUCGACGGUCGCCUGGGUCUAGG